This is a long non-coding RNA of Mya arenaria, 2203 nucleotides long. RefSeq lists it as uncharacterized. The transcript is spliced from 5 exons. Lineage: Eukaryota; Metazoa; Mollusca; Bivalvia; Myida; Myidae. The record is from RefSeq and is a predicted model, not a curated record.
AGCGUGAAGAUUUAAGAAAUUAACGAAUAUGUUACUUAUACUUUGUGUUCUACUAUGGAAUAUCAAUUUGGCAUGUACACAAUCAAAAUGCGAAAGCUACACAAAUCUUACAAACCCUACACUUCGUACAGACAAUAGCGAUCCAAAGCCCGUUCAAAUAACUUUAGGUUGGUACAGAUAUAUUGGCACUGAUACCGGUAUCAUGGCAACUAGCUGUCCGAAUGGUACCAACCAGUGCGGUGCAAAACAUCAAAUCUGGAUUAAAGGUUCGUUUCCUGCCGUUAAUAACGGACCUGCAUCUGUCAAUGCAUGUAUCAGGACUGUAAACCUUGAUGGGACGGCCAACUGUUGUGGACGAACAAGCCAGCUUCCAGUGGAAAACUGUGGAUUGUUCUACAUUUACUUCCUUUUCCCUCUACAACCUGAUACCCAUGUUUGUUUUAAUAAUACAGCCAUGAAACUGACAAGAGCAUCAACACCAACAACUGCGAUAACAACAUCAGCACCAAAUUAAACUUCAAGACUCCGUAACAUAGUCACUAGUCUCGAUGGGAAUACUCUUCAAUUAGAAAGCAAGGUCGAGUCAAACUCUCCGGAUGUUAGUGUUAUUUUUUAAUCCAGUUAUAGCACGAUACUAUUAAAUAUAUUUAAUCCUAGAGAACUUCAUGAAAGUUCAUCAUUCUUUAUUAGAUUAUUUACAAUUAACCAUCAAAGAGGAAACUGUUUGGCGUUGUAACGGAUACAAUACAAAGAAAAUCCCCAUGUCUCUCAGGAACAGCUAAUGCAGUCUAUUCACCACCCAAUAAACAAUAUGGUUUGUAUAUGUUACUGUCAUAUUGUUUGAGUUGAAAUUGAACGUAAAUAACAGAUGUGUACGACCAACACAUCAAUAAAUGAUGAUACAGUCUGAACAAAUUACAGGGACAAACAAAAGUAUAUGCCAAGUUUAACCAAGUACCCUUGUGAUUAAAAAAUAAAUAAAAAAAUCGCGUCAUUCUUGUAUAAUUUAAAUCCAAAUUUGCGCCUAUUACCGUUUAGUAAAUUGCUAUUUACAAUUGUCUUUGUAUAGUACACCAGUUUUUAAAUAUUUUUAUAUUAUUCCAGGCAGUACAUAUACAAACAAAGUGAUUGAUCGAAAAGUAACAUUUAAAACAUUUAAAUGGAUAAGUUGUAUUAGUGUUACAGUGUAAAGCAACAUGUGCCAAGUUCAAACAACUAAUCUCAAAUUCAGUCUAAUCGAAUACAAUGCCCGGACCAGGUGACUGCCUUUUUUGAUUCGAUUGAUCUUUAAUGAUCUCGUUCUGUAAUGAUUUACUUAACAAAGUUCUGCAUUAAAUAAGUAAGUAUAAAAAAGAAAUAACACUGAAAACCUCGUCAGGUGUUAUACAUUUAUUUAACAUCUAAUCAACAGGGACAUUGUUAACAUUUGAUUAGUAACACACAACAACAUCUAUCUCCCUGGGAGGCAUGCAUUGUGUAAAUAAUUUCUAUUUGUCCGAUGUGUGACAGCACUAUGUAGAUCAUCUAUUGGAUUUUAUAAUUGUUUUUAUUUUCAUAAAUGUUACAGUCAUUAUGAAAUGCUGAAAUACCUGGAAACCUUCUAAUCUGCAUUUCAGAUGCUUAUUAUCAAAUCUUCCUUGUCUUUAGUUAUCGUUAUGUUCUGGAUCAACAGCAGACCAGAUCUAAUUAAUCUAUGACAUGAAAAUAAACUGAAAAUGUCAAGGAAUCGCCAGUUCAGGUGGUUAAACAGUUCAGCGUUGAAUUUGAUCAUACUUUAGAGGACCUUUAGAGGAUACCUUUAGAAGAAUACUUUAUCAUACCUGAUAAUAAAUAGAGAAAAUUACAUUAAGAUUAUGGACAAUAGACUAGUUACAUUUCGCCUUUUAUUUUUGUUCGAUAUCUGAUCUAAACAUGGAAGUCUUGAACCAAAUAUCCUUAAUGAUUGAUUUUUAUUAUUGUAUAUAAAACAUUUGUUUGUUAAUCAUUCGAUGCAUCACAAACAAAAUAAACACCGAUACAUUGACAGUAUCAAUAAGAAUAUCCCCUUAUAUUCCAUUCAAAUAUUUACAAUUUACAUAGCAUUGUGCCUAUGCUUGUUUUAAGUGUUUCAGCAUAGUGUUGCAACGAGCCAAUAACGUUUAUAGUUGUUUCAUAAUGGUCUUAGGAAUUAGUUGCCCCAGCAACAAUUUUUCAUUGAUUAAUG